GACAGAGGAUGCAAGCGUUAUCCGGAAUGAUUGGGCGUAAAGCGCACGUAGGCGGCUUUUUAAGUCAGGGGUGAAAUCCCGGGGCUCAACCCCGGAACUGCCCUUGAAACUGGAGAGCUAGAAUCUUGGAGAGGCGAGUGGAAUUCCGAGUGUAGAGGUGAAAUUCGUAGAUAUUCGGAAGAACACCAGUGGCGAAGGCGACUCGCUGGACAAGUAUUGACGCUGAGGUGCGAAAGCGUGGGGAGCAAACAGG
This 253-nucleotide ribosomal RNA is filed under the name uncultured bacterium. RNAcentral describes it as "partial 16S ribosomal RNA". It matches the Rfam family "Bacterial small subunit ribosomal RNA", at positions 524 to 776 of the family's 1533-position model. The record is from RNAcentral.